GGGUUGUGAGGUUAAGCGACUAAGCGUACACGGUGGAUGCCCUGGCAGUCAGAGGCGAUGAAGGACGUGCUAAUCUGCGAAAAGCGUCGGUAAGGUGAUAUGAACCGUUAUAGCCGGCGAUGUCCGAAUGGGGAAACCCAGUGCAAUUCGUUGCACUAUCGUUAACUGAAUACAUAGGUUAACGAGGCGAACCGGGGGAACUGAAACAUCUAAGUACCCCGAGGAAAAGAAAUCAACCGAGAUUCCCCCAGUAGCGGCGAGCGAACGGGGAGCAGCCCAGAGUCUGAAUCAGCUUGUGUGUUAGUGGAACGGUCUGGAAAGUCCGACGGUACAGGGUGAUAGUCCCGUACACCAAAAUGCACAGGCUGUGAACUCGAAGAGUAGGGCGGGACACGUGGUAUCCUGUCUGAAUAUGGGGGGACCAUCCUCCAAGGCUAAAUACUCCUGACUGACCGAUAGUGAACCAGUACCGUGAGGGAAAGGCGAAAAGAACCCCGGCGAGGGGAGUGAAAAAGAACCUGAAACCGUGUACGUACAAGCAGUGGGAGCACCUUCGGGUGUGACUGCGUACCUUUUGUAUAAUGGGUCAGCGACUUAUAUUCUGUAGCAAGGUUAACCGUAUAGGGGAGCCGCAGGGAAACCGAGUCUUAACUGGGCGUUAAGUUGCAGGGUAUAGACCCGAAACCCGGUGAUCUAGCCAUGGGCAGGUUGAAGGUUGGGUAACACUAACUGGAGGACCGAACCGACUAAUGUUGAAAAAUUAGCGGAUGACUUGUGGCUGGGGGUGAAAGGCCAAUCAAACCGGGAGAUAGCUGGUUCUCCCCGAAAGCUAUUUAGGUAGCGCCUCGUGAACUCAUCUUCGGGGGUAGAGCACUGUUUCGGCUAGGGGGUCAUCCCGACUUACCAACCCGAUGCAAACUACGAAUACCGAAGAAUGUUAUCACGGGAGACACACGGCGGGUGCUAACGUCCGUCGUGAAGAGGGAAACAACCCAGACCGCCAGCUAAGGUCCCAAAGUCAUGGUUAAGUGGGAAACGAUGUGGGAAGGCACAGACAGCCAGGAUGUUGGCUUAGAAGCAGCCAUCAUUUAAAGAAAGCGUAAUAGCUCACUGGUCGAGUCGGCCUGCGCGGAAGAUGUAACGGGGCUAAACCAUGCACCGAAGCUGCGGCAGCGACACUAUGUGUUGUUGGGUAGGGGAGCGUUCUGUAAGCCUGCGAAGGUGUGCUGUGAGGCAUGCUGGAGGUAUCAGAAGUGCGAAUGCUGACAUAAGUAACGAUAAAGCGGGUGAAAAGCCCGCUCGCCGGAAGACCAAGGGUUCCUGUCCAACGUUAAUCGGGGCAGGGUGAGUCGACCCCUAAGGCGAGGCCGAAAGGCGUAGUCGAUGGGAAACAGGUUAAUAUUCCUGUACUUGGUGUUACUGCGAAGGGGGGACGGAGAAGGCUAUGUUAGCCGGGCGACGGUUGUCCCGGUUUAAGCAUGUAGGCUGAUUGUCCAGGCAAAUCCGGAUAAUCAAGGCUGAGGUGUGAUGACGAGGCACUACGGUGCUGAAGUAACAAAUGCCCUGCUUCCAGGAAAAGCCUCUAAGCAUCAGGUAACAUCAAAUCGUACCCCAAACCGACACAGGUGGUCAGGUAGAGAAUACCAAGGCGCUUGAGAGAACUCGGGUGAAGGAACUAGGCAAAAUGGUGCCGUAACUUCGGGAGAAGGCACGCUGGUGUGUAGGUGAAGUCCCUGCGGAUGGAGCUGAGACCAGUCGAAGAUACCAGCUGGCUGCAACUGUUUAUUAAAAACACAGCACUGUGCAAACACGAAAGUGGACGUAUACGGUGUGACGCCUGCCCGGUGCCGGAAGGUUAAUUGAUGGGGUUAUCCGUAAGGAGAAGCUCUUGAUCGAAGCCCCGGUAAACGGCGGCCGUAACUAUAACGGUCCUAAGGUAGCGAAAUUCCUUGUCGGGUAAGUUCCGACCUGCACGAAUGGCGUAAUGAUGGCCAGGCUGUCUCCACCCGAGACUCAGUGAAAUUGAACUCGCUGUGAAGAUGCAGUGUACCCGCGGCAAGACGGAAAGACCCCGUGAACCUUUACUAUAGCUUGACACUGAACAUUGAGCCUUGAUGUGUAGGAUAGGUGGGAGGCUUUGAAGCGUGGACGCCAGUCUGCGUGGAGCCAACCUUGAAAUACCACCCUUUAAUGUUUGAUGUUCUAACGUUGGCCCCUUACCGGGGUUGCGGACAGUGUCUGGUGGGUAGUUUGACUGGGGCGGUCUCCUCCCAAAGCGUAACGGAGGAGCACGAAGGUUAGCUAAUCCUGGUCGGACAUCAGGAGGUUAGUGCAAUGGCAUAAGCUAGCUUGACUGCGAGCGUGACGGCGCGAGCAGGUGCGAAAGCAGGUCAUAGUGAUCCGGUGGUUCUGAAUGGAAGGGCCAUCGCUCAACGGAUAAAAGGUACUCCGGGGAUAACAGGCUGAUACCGCCCAAGAGUUCAUAUCGACGGCGGUGUUUGGCACCUCGAUGUCGGCUCAUCACAUCCUGGGGCUGAAGUAGGUCCCAAGGGUAUGGCUGUUCGCCAUUUAAAGUGGUACGCGAGCUGGGUUUAGAACGUCGUGAGACAGUUCGGUCCCUAUCUGCCGUGGGCGCUGGAGAAUUGAGGGGGGCUGCUCCUAGUACGAGAGGACCGGAGUGGACGCAUCACUGGUGUUCGGGUUGUCAUGCCAAUGGCACUGCCCGGUAGCUAAAUGCGGAAGAGAUAAGUGCUGAAAGCAUCUAAGCACGAAACUUGCCCCGAGAUGAGUUCUCCCUGAGACUUUAAGUCUCCUGAAGGAACGUUGAAGACGACGACGUUGAUAGGCCGGGUGUGUAAGCGCAGCGAUGCGUUGAGCUAACCGGUACUAAUGAACCGUGAGGCUUAACCUUACAACGCCGAAG
RNAcentral lists this ribosomal RNA (2923 nucleotides) under Klebsiella pneumoniae. RNAcentral describes it as "23S ribosomal RNA". It matches the Rfam family "Bacterial large subunit ribosomal RNA". Lineage: Bacteria; Pseudomonadati; Pseudomonadota; Gammaproteobacteria; Enterobacterales; Enterobacteriaceae. The record is from RNAcentral.